RNAcentral lists this long non-coding RNA (5454 nucleotides) under Sus scrofa (pig). RNAcentral's name for it is "lncRNA (ENSSSCG00000052191.1)". The record is from RNAcentral. Lineage: Eukaryota; Metazoa; Chordata; Mammalia; Artiodactyla; Suidae.
GGUGUCGUGCCUUGUGUUAGUUGCUAGGGCUGCUGUAACAAAGCAGCGCAGGCUGAGGGGCUGAGCAGCAGAAAUGUAUUCUCUCACCAUUCGGGGGGCCAGAAGUCCGGUUCUUUCUGAGGGCUGUCAGGGAAAGUCUGCUCCCCGUGGCUCUCCUAGUUUUGCUCGUUUCCUGGCAGUCGUUGGUUUCUCCUGGCUUGGACGUCCGUCAGCGUCACCUUAUCUCCGCCCUCAUCCUCACGUGGUCUUCUCCCAGCGUGUGUUUAUCUCUGUGCCCACAUCUCCCUCUUUUCCAAGGAUACCAGUCAUAGUGGAUUAGGACCCACCCUGGGCACCUCAUUUCCCCCUUGAUCACGUCUGUAAAGACCCUGUUUCUAAAUAAGGUCCCGUUCGGAGGUCCAGGGGGUAAGGACUCCACCCUGUCUUUGUCCAACCCAUUAACACUCAUCUGAAAACUGAAAGUCUGGGUUGCGUAAAAAGGAACCCAUUUCCUUCUCUCUCACAUCUUUAGCUUUGACCCUCUGGAUGCAGGAAAACUGCACCAGAUUAGGAUGAAAGGCGAUACCAGAAGGAAUUUCCUAAUUUACUGAGAAUUAGCCUGUCAGUGACAUUGUGAGAUGCCAGCUCUGAUUCCUCCAGUAGAAUCCGCAGACUUGAAGGUUUGAUGGGGCACAGUCUUUCAGUUUCGUCUCCAUCCUGACCUUGUGUGCUUCGUCCAGGCCCACAUUCCGUUUCACAAGCCCACCGGCCCAUAAUGCAAAAUCCAGGCACCCCGGCGUUGUCUGUGAGUUUUAUCUCAGGCCCUUCUUCCUUGUUCUAACCCCUCCUCCAGCUCCUGAAUCUUGCAUCUCUCUCCUGCUUUUGGACAUUUGUGUCUGUUCUCUGAAUUUCUCCAUUCACCCUCCCCUGAAGAAUUUGUCUUAGAUCUGCUCUACUGGCUCUCCUUGGUUCAAAUCAAGUUGUUGGAUGGGCCGCCCUCGCCAGCCCUUUGACCUCAGUCACCACUGCCAACGCGUCCACCCACCAGCACACAGAAAAGGCUCCCUUAGUUUCUGCACAAAGUGGGGAGUGUGGCAAGGGAAUACAGUGUCACCUUGAGAUAAGUAUCGUGGUAGUCUCCUAGGUGAUUUUUCCCAUGGCUUGUUUCUACCUUGUCCGAUUCGAUUAAAGUGCAAUUAUUUGAACCAUCUUUCUAAGGCGUAAUUCUGAAGAUUCAAUUUGCUGCUCACAAUUCAUCAAGGUCCCUCCCUCCUUUGCCCAUUCAACGAGUGCAAAUUCCUCAGCCUGACAUUUCACCUUCAUAUACCUGCCCGAGUUCCAAACCAGUGGUUCUCAGCCCUGGCUGCACGCUGAAACCACUUGGGGGAAAUUUACAAUCUGCUGAUGCCUGGACCUCACCCCCGGAGGUUCCGAUGUAAUUAGUUUGAGGUGCACCAACAAUUUUAAAAGUCCCCUUAGUAAUUCCAAUGUUGAGCCAAGGUUGAGAACCACCUCUUUAGAGCAACGCGUCUUCAGUUUUAAUGUGUACGGUGAUUGCCUUGUUCAAAUGCAGACUCUGAUUCGGCAGGUCUGGGACCAGCUGAGAUUAUGUAUUUCUAACAACCACUAAUGCUGCUUUGUUACACUUUGAGUCGUAGGGUGAUGAAUUGAGCUUUUUGAGAUCCAGGACCACAUUUUGCUCAUCUCUGUGUCUCCAAAGUACACUGUAGGGGCUCUCAGCAAAUGUUUGAAAGCCAAAUUAAAUUUCAACCUACCCACAACUUUCCAGCCUUUUUUCUCUGUGCUUUGAAAUCCAUGUGAACUUAGGUCUACCUCCUUUUGGAAAAUACCCUUGAAGACCACAACCAGAGGGCCAGCAUUUCAUUCAUUCACCCAGCUAACACUUACUAAGUACCCGUUAUGGCCAGGUACUGGGCAUUCACUGCUUAAUAAAGUGGCACUCCUGCCCUCAAGUUUACAUGUUGGUAGAGGGGGUUUUGCUCUAGGCUGGCACUUUGUAGAUGUCCUGUGCAGGGAACAGGUGUUUUCAAAUCUAUUUUACUUUUGUAAAGUAUAAAAUUAGGCUCUUGGGUAUCUUGGCAACAUUGAAUAAAAAUUUCUAAGUGAGUUCCGCCCUUGUCAUGGAGUGGCAGUAGGUAGUUUUCAGAUUGCAGUGGGCCACGGAUCCACUUUGAGUCCCUCUGCUCUAGUGCCCUGCUGGGCAAAGUGGAGUCUGUGAACCAGCAACAUCAGCAGAGCUCAGGCAGCUGCUAAGAAAUGCAGACCCGGGGCCCACUAAAGGCAUGCGGAGUCAGAAUCUGCAUUUUAGGGAGUUCCCGUUGUGGCUCAGUGGAAACGAACCUGCCUGGUAUCCGUGAAGAUGUGGGUUUAAUCCCUGUCUCACUCUGUGGGUCAAGGACCUAGCAUUGCCAUGAGCUGUGGUGUAGGUCCCAGGUGUGGCUCAGAUCCUGCAUUGCUGUGGCUGUGAUAUAGGCCCAUAGCUGUAGCUCCAAUUCCACCCCUAGCCUGGGAACCUCCCUAUGUGUAACAGUUGGUGAAACUGAACAGGUUUGUCUUUAAAGGGCAGUUUCAAGGGUUGUUUCUUUUUUACUGAGCUGGGUCCUGGGAGUGUGCAUUGAAGCACCCUGCACACAUCCAAUUGGAGGGGAAACCAGCAGCAACCCUUAAAAAAAAAAAAUCUGCAUUUUCACCCGAUCCCCAAGGGGUUUGUGUGCACAUUACAGAUGAAAAAGUGCAGCUCCAGCGCAGAGGCUCCCAACCUUGGCUGCAUAUUACAUUUUUGCAAGAACUCAAGAACAUUUCGCUGCCCGAGCUGUAUCCCAGUCAGAUCCUGGACUAAAGUCUCUGGGGUUGGCACCCAAGCGCCAGGACUUUUUUUUUUUAAAAAAAACAGCUCCUCAGGUGAUUCAGACAGGUGGUGAGAACCAGUGCUAAGUGAGUCCAGAGUCUAUGAGACCCGGGAAGGUAGUUAACCCAUUGCUUUUACCCUCAUAUCUGCUCGGGUUCCCAGAGACCCACUUGUCACUCUCUUCCCUUCGCUUAGGAAACUCAGGACCAAAUAUAGGGUGUUGCAGGGUGGGCAGUUUUAGGAGGACUGGUUGGAUCAGUGGUUCCCCAACUUGCUUUGCGUAACAGUUGGUGAAACUGAACAGGUUUGUCUUUAAAAGGCAGUUUCAAGGGCUGUUUCUUUUUUACUGAGCUGGGUCCUGGGAGUGUGCAUUGAAGCACCCUGCACACAUCCAAUUGGAGGGGAAACCAGCAGCCGUUCCCUUCCCUCCUCUUCCUUAUGGCAGAGUCUGCCCCCAGCGAAGUGUCUGGAAACCACAUACUGUCUUUUCCAGCCUCCCUUGCAGCUUAAAUCUGGCCCUGUGACCCAGUUCUGGCCAAUAUGACAUAAGAGAAUGUUGCUGAGGCUCUCUCUCCCUGCUCAAAAAGGAAGGUCCAUGCUGAUGCCUGCUCAUCUGAACUUUUUAGUGUUUCAGUUUCGAUUCCUGCAAGCUCAGAUUUCUCAGUGGGUCAAACAAAGGAAAGGGACUGGAAAAUAAACCCCAAUUAUGAAUAUUCCAUUAUUUUCCUCCAAGUGUGGGCCAUGCCAGGGACCAGCAGCAUCAGCUCCACCUAAGAAAUCGUUAGGAAAGUGCAGAAUCUCAGACCCCACCGUGGACCUGCAGAAUCAGCAAGAUCCCCAGGUGAUUCCUAUGGACAUGAAAGUUUGUGAAGUGGUGGCCUACUAAGGGUUUUCUUUCUGUAACAGCUUUCUAAUGUCCCUGUGCCUUCUGUUGCCAUGGAAGAUGGGCUUGCCCACAGAGGGAAAGCCAUCAGGAGUCUAGGCCGUUCUUCACUUGGGAAUCCAAACAUCCAUUUCCACACUGCAGUGUAACUGUUGCGACAUGUUCUUUUGGAAAGUCACUACCUAGAUGCCAUCGUGUCAAGCCAUCAGCUAUUUUUGGGUUUUCUGGAAAGGCCAAAGAUUCCGCUGCCCAAAUGACUCCAAAGAACGCGGGGCUGAUGCAUGUCAGAUUUUCGUAUAAAAAAAUGUCAUGGGUGUUUCCUCUUGAGUUCAGCUCCAUUUUACUAACUACAGAAGCCCGUGUAUGACUAUGUCCCACUUAGCAGGUUGUGCUUUUCUGCCUCUUCAUCUCAAGAGCUAUGGCAUGGUUCCUGGCACUGUUUUAUCAGAGAAACAUAACGAGGACUGGAUUUGACAUGCAUCAUAUUUUACGGAUGAUUAUCAUCGCCGUCUCAGAUUUUUCUUGGGGCUCCGAGAUGGCAAAGAACAUUGGAUGGAGACCUGGAAAAGAGAGGGGUGGUGCAGGUGCAUGUUUGCUUAGUUUCUUUUAGAGGAGUUUGGAGGCUGCCAGGAAGUGAUUAACAAACAAGCAGGCAGCCACCUGAGGCCGUCCGUGGAGACUGGAAGACAAGUGUGAAGAAACAGACAGCAGCCCAUGGUCCUUCAAAGGAAAGAAGAAGAAGAAAAAAAAAAGGCCAUAGGAGCAAGAAAUGACUAGUCAAAAGCGGUUUCCAAAUGUGCAUCGUUACCCCUUGCUCUGUGACCCUCUGAACGCUAAACAACGAUGUGAUGGAAUGUGGGAAAAAACAGAUGUGAGUUUAGGCUUAAUGCUUUCCUAAUCCUCGUGCUAUUCUAUUUUAUAGUGUUUGAAAGAUACAUAUUUGAAAGAUUCUUGCUACCGUAAUUAAAUUCUUCCCACUAUGAUCAUUUUAAAGGGCGUAUUGGAUGGAGAAAGACAUUCACAUACAGUUACUAAUCUUUUAUUAUAAACCCAAUAAGUGCUGGGCAUUAGGGAUAUAAAUAUAAAUAAUGUCCCAGCAUAAAACGCUAACACAGUAUAAAUCAGAAGUCCCACAGAAACAAUAAAGUAAUCCUUAAAUCAUAGUUCGUUUCUUAAUUCUCCCAGGAGGAGAAGGCUCAUGUUUCAUAUUUUUCUUUAUUAUUUAGAAGGCAGGACUUCAAAAGAAAUAAAAACAGAAGGUCGGCUGCAGGGCAAGUCACAGUGGCUCCAUUCUUGCGUAUCCAGAAGGGCGUUGCCCGUGUUUACCUUCCUAAAUUGGGAAUUCUUACGUCUUAUCACAAAAACGUGAUCUAGUAUUACUUGGUUCCACUUCACCUUUUGAAACUGGAAGGAACUAUGCUCUUGAUGGUAAGAUACUCUGUGAAUAAUAAAAUUAGGAACAUUCCCUGACUGUGUUUUUAGGUGUUACCUUGAGCCAACAUCAGCUCAUGCGGUGUUUGGAGCAGCUUUUAUUCCUGUUUGAGAGACGUUGGGACCUAAGGUUGAAGGUAUAAUUUUCAACAAAUUUCAGCUCGAAAUGAAGGAUAGAGUCAGGGUGUCCAUUUGACUCCUAUGCUUAAGUUUCUCAGCGCUGGCUUGUACUCUGUCCAUUUUGUCAUCUGGAAGUCAUAGUUGAUGGGUCAUUUUGAAACCCAAAUCCGUU